UGGCGAAUAUUGCACAAUGGGCGCAAGCCUGAUGCAGCCAUGCCGCGUGUGUGAAGAAGGUCUUCGUGUUGUAAAGCACUUUCAGCGGGGAGGAAGGCGUUAAGGUUAAUAACCUUGGCGAUUGACGUUACCCGCAGAAGAAGCACCGGCUAACUCCGUGCCAGCAGCCGCGGUAAUACGGAGGGUGCAAGCGUUAAUCGGAAUUACUGGGCGUAAAGCGCCCGCAGGCGGUCUGUCAAGUCGGAUGUGUAAUCCCCGGGAUCAACCUGGGAACUGUAUUCGAAAGUGGGAGGCUGGAGUCUUGUAGAGGGGGGUAGAAUUCCAGGUGUAGCGGUGAAAUGCGUAGAGGUCUGGAGGAAUACCAGUGGCGAAGGCGGCCCCCUGGACAAAGACUGACGCUCAGGUGCGAAAGCGUGGGGAGCAAAGAGG
This 429-nucleotide ribosomal RNA is filed under the name Chloroflexota bacterium. RNAcentral describes it as "Chloroflexi bacterium partial 16S ribosomal RNA". It matches the Rfam family "Bacterial small subunit ribosomal RNA", at positions 355 to 776 of the family's 1533-position model. Lineage: Bacteria; Bacillati; Chloroflexota. The record is from RNAcentral.